RNAcentral lists this long non-coding RNA (1794 nucleotides) under Mustela putorius furo (domestic ferret). Its description in RNAcentral is "lncRNA (ENSMPUG00000029459.1)". Lineage: Eukaryota; Metazoa; Chordata; Mammalia; Carnivora; Mustelidae. The record is from RNAcentral.
AUGCCCAAGCUGGGUCAGCCGUGUGAGCUCAAGACGACAGGGCCCGAGAGUGGCUUCAAAGUCCCGAGUAAUCACCGCGCCUUCUCAGCAAAACCCAAACCCUGUCCAGAGAAGUCUCUGUCGGCGCAAAUGGCCGGGGUCGACAACCCAGCGCUGGCCAUGGGGAGCUCCCAAGCCUUGCAAAGCACCAGUCUCAGCAGGGGCAUUUACUCUUUGUUGUCAAGGUGUAUGAAAGGCAGUCGAGAAAAGGAAAUUACUCGCCUUUCCAGUGGAAAGCGCAGAAGGCGUCGUCGGGGCUGGCGCUCGUCACUCGUCUUUCUGCCACUAGGUGGUUCCUUUCUCAGAUCCUAGUACCUCUAGGCCCAGAGGAAAAACCGCAUUUACACACUCCCUCCACCCUGUCCCCAGGAAAUGUCAAGGACUACGAAGGGAGCCUAGGAGCUAAAUAACCGUUGGGGGGGAAAAAACCAUAAAGGCGGUUUUAUGUUAUUUGUAAUGCGUUGGCAGAAGUUUUGUGUUUUUUUCCUACCCCCAUCCCCACCCCCCUUCUUGAGGAAGGCAUUAAACUCGACCUUGAACGGAAAUCUCAGAAGGAAACCAUAAGGUAUUUAAACAAGAAUAAAAGAAGGACAUCUCAGGUGUCUGGAAAUGGGACAGUGGGUAGGCAAGAGAGAAAGACACCACGGUGUGAAUAUAGCCAAGUAUUCCAUUUAUUAACAAAAUAAGUCUUACCAAGGGAGAGCUCUAUCCAUCCCAAACAGGCCCCACAGCCCCCCACACUGCUGCACAAGACCAGGAGGGAGGGAAGGUGUGGGGAGAAGACCCAGGGGUCGGAGUCUUCCAUCCCAGUCACUGAGGGAGCCCACGGAAGCCGAUGGCCAACUUUGGGGAUUCUGUUGGGUCAGGCCUGGGAGGGGGUGAUGGGGCUACUGUGAUCCGUGUACUCCCGGGCUCCCCAACUGUCCCCCAAUGGAGCUACCGAGGUUGUACUGCCCUCUGAUAUUGCCACUGGUCUGCUUUGGAGGGAUCUAGCAAGAAUCACUGACCAUACCCUUACCACCAGGGGACCACUGCCCCCCACGCCCAAAAGAGAAUAAAACAGGACUACCAAUGCACUUUGCAAAAUAUUAAGAGCAAAGUUUCACCAGCAGGGCCUCCUAGGACUUUUAACUGAGUGAGAGAAGCCCUACAGGUCCCCCACCAGCAGGCCGUGUGACUACCGGGUGUUUGGGGCCAUGAGAAGUCUGGAAGGUAGAAAGGCUGUCAGAGGCCGCUUGGGUCUCUCACAGGGGAGCCUGCUGGUGGGGUCAGGGCUCUUAGUGCUUACAGCAAGACAGAGGAGCAAGGCUCUAAUUUUGGGGGCCAGGGUGCAGACCAAGGACCCCAGAAGAAGAGGGUUGCAGGGGACGAGUCACAGAGCAGAGUUCUGGGUCAACAGAACACAAGACCUCUUGCCACCAAGGCGGAUCCCUGCAUCCCCGCAAACGAGUUACAAAAAAUAUCUCCUCUCUGUUAAUUGUACAAAGGAUAAAACAGAAUCUCAAAUGUAAGGAAACAAGAAGAAAUGAAGGGGAAAGAGGGGGAAAAGAGAAGGGGGAAAUGUAGUCUUAACGGUUAGGAAGCAUGCAAGAAACUCCCCAGGAAGGGAAAACAAAUAGAAGAACCCCAGAACCCCAACUCUCCCUCCUCCCCCUAAAACCAAACCAAUCAAAAAAAGAAAGAAAAAAANNNNNNNNNNNNNNNNNNNNNNNNNNNNNNNNNNNNNNNNNNNNNNNNNNNNNNNNNNNNNNNNNN